RNAcentral lists this ribosomal RNA (315 nucleotides) under Triticum aestivum (bread wheat). RNAcentral describes it as "partial small subunit ribosomal RNA". Lineage: Eukaryota; Viridiplantae; Streptophyta; Magnoliopsida; Poales; Poaceae. The record is from RNAcentral.
AUGGAUAUUUCCUUUUGCAACAUAGACCAUGUUGCGGAAACAUCCGUAGAAUUUUUUGCAGCAGAGGUCAUGUUACAGAAACUUUUUGUAACAAGAAUCAUGUUGCAAGAUCUGUUGUUGCAUCUCAGCUCGGGGAGGCCACACCUAUGGGUGUCGGUGCUCCUUCAGGACGUCAGCGACGUGGAACAAGGACGAAUGAUGGCGGACGUGGCGGCAUGGCUCGCAGAUGCGAGCGGUGCAGUUCGGCAGCUUCCAGCAUCUACGCCUGGUAGCAGGCCGCUGCACCGGCCACCUGGCAUGUCACGGACGAGGUGA